GGGGAAUAUUGGACAAUGGGGGAAACCCUGAUCCAGCAAUGCAGCGUGAGUGAAGAAGGCCUUAGGGUUGUAAAGCUCUUUCGCCCGCGAAGAUAAUGACGGUAGCGGGAGAAGAAGCCCCGGCUAACUCCGUGCCAGCAGCCGCGGUAAUACGGAGGGGGCUAGCGUUGUUCGGAAUUACUGGGCGUAAAGCGUAAGUAGGCGGAUGCGCAAGUUGGGGGUGAAAUCCCGGGGCUUAACCUCGGAAUUGCCCUCAAAACUGCACGUCUUGAGACCGAGAGAGGUAAGGGGAAUUCCUAGUAUAGAGGUGAAAUUCGUAGAUAUUAGGAAGAACACCAGUGGCGAAGGCGCCUUACUGGCUCGGUACUGACGCUGAGGUACGAAAGCGUGGGGAGCAAACA
RNAcentral lists this ribosomal RNA (401 nucleotides) under uncultured bacterium. RNAcentral's name for it is "bacterial SSU rRNA". It matches the Rfam family "Bacterial small subunit ribosomal RNA", at positions 356 to 774 of the family's 1533-position model. The record is from RNAcentral.